AGACCCGAAACCCGGUGAUCUAGCCAUGGGCAGGUUGAAGGUUGGGUAACACUAACUGGAGGACCGAACCGACUAAUGUUGAAAAAUUAGCGGAUGACCUGUGGCUGGGGGUGAAAGGCCAAUCAAACCGGGAGAUAGCUGGUUCUCCCCGAAAGCUAUUUAGGUAGCGCCUCGUGAAUUCAUCUCCGGGGGUAGAGCACUGUUUCGGCUAGGGGGCCAUCCCGGCUUACCAACCCGAUGCAAACUGCGAAUACCGGAGAAUGUUAUCACGGGAGACACACGGCGGGUGCUAACGUCCGUCGUGAAGAGGGAAACAACCCAGACCGCCAGCUAAGGUCCCAAAGUCAUGGUUAAGUGGGAAACGAUGUGGGAAGGCCCAGACAGCCAGGAUGUUGGCUUAGAAGCAGCCAUCAUUUAAAGAAAGCGUAAUAGCUCACUGGUCGAGUCGGCCUGCGCGGAAGAUGUAACGGGGCUAAACCAUGCACCGAAGCUGCGGCAGCGACGCUGAUGCGUUGUUGGGUAGGGGAGCGUUCUGUAAGCCUGUGAAGGUGGCCUGUGAGGGUUGCUGGAGGUAUCAGAAGUGCGAAUGCUGACAUAAGUAACGAUAAAGCGGGUGAAAAGCCCGCUCGCCGGAAGACCAAGGGUUCCUGUCCAACGUUAAUCGGGGCAGGGUGAGUCGACCCCUAAGGCGAGGCCGAAAGGCGUAGUCGAUGGGAAACGGGUUAAUAUUCCCGUACUUGGUGUUACUGCGAAGGGGGGACGGAGAAGGCUAUGUUGGCCGGGCGACGGUUGUCCCGGUUUAAGCGUGUAGGUGUGUGUUCCAGGUAAAUCCGGUUCACUUUAACACUGAGGCGUGACGACGAGGCACUACGGUGCUGAAGCAACAAAUGCCCUGCUUCCAGGAAAAGCCUCUAAGCAUCAGGUAACAC
RNAcentral lists this ribosomal RNA (929 nucleotides) under Salmonella enterica. Its description in RNAcentral is "partial 23S ribosomal RNA". It matches the Rfam family "Bacterial large subunit ribosomal RNA", at positions 711 to 1637 of the family's 2925-position model. The record is from RNAcentral. Lineage: Bacteria; Pseudomonadati; Pseudomonadota; Gammaproteobacteria; Enterobacterales; Enterobacteriaceae.